Long non-coding RNA from Myotis daubentonii (Daubenton's bat), 1027 nucleotides. RefSeq lists it as uncharacterized. NCBI's taxonomy places the organism in Eukaryota, Metazoa, Chordata, Mammalia, Chiroptera, Vespertilionidae. The record is from RefSeq and is a predicted model, not a curated record.
GCAAUAAGUGCUGCAUGACGAUUCCUGAGCCAGCAAACCCGUGAUGGAUGGAUCUAGAACUCCACGCGGGCCCGGUCAGUGCAGGAACCCAGGACCUAGUCCAGCUGUUUCCUGAGGACCCAGAGCACCGUCUGCACAGACGUCAGAGCUGCUGGCACCGUGACCGUGGGCCACCCCCGGGCAGGGGGCGCGGCCGCGCUUGCCGAGUGAUCAGGUUGGUUUCUGCCUUCCCCUGGCAGCUACACCAAGUGGGUCAAAACCCUUCAUCCGCGAGACCGCCCCCGUCCGGUGAGUCACUGCGCCCGGGCGAGAGGCCUGCCUUUCCAGCCCUUGGUUCUGUGGGAGAAGAAGGGGCACAGGGAGCACCCCGGAUCCUGGCACCUUUCAGCCUUCAUGCCGUCACCCCAACAAGGACAUCACCAGCACCUCCCGGAGCCUGCAGCAACGGGGCUCAGGGCGAUUUCUUAAGGCACUUGGUCCCAGACAAGCCAACGGAUGCAUUUACUGAGCACCCAUUUAGUCAAGAUGUGCAACGCCCCUACUGCACACCGGGCAGCGUGCUGGGUACAUGGUAUGAGGACCACAGACCCAGCCGCAGCCUGGGAGCCGGCAGCAUCCCAGGAGUCACAUGACACGUGCAUCACAGCGAGUCCACCCAUGAGAGGCAGCUGGGCUUGCAGGCAGGGCAGCCGAGACCACCUCCUCGGGGAAGUGACCACAGAGACUUAACGGAGGAGAGGGAGGCAGGAAUAGGAUCCUCACCAGGAACCAACCAGGCUGGCCCGGCCGGUGUCGCUCAGUGGUUGAGCAUGGACCUAUGAACCAGGAGGCCGCGGCUCAAUUCCCGAUCAGGGCACAGGCCCGGGGUUUCAGGCUCGAUCCCCAGUAGGGGGCGUGCAGGAGGCAGCCGAUCCAUGAUUCUCUCUCAUCACUGAUGUUCCUCUCUCUCUCCCUCUCCCUUCUUCUCUGAAAUCAAUAAAAAUAUAUUUAAAAAUAUAAAAAUAAAAUAGAACCAACCAGGCUGGCA